This 221-nucleotide long non-coding RNA is filed under the name Solanum tuberosum (potato). Its description in RNAcentral is "long non-coding RNA (STUB_LNC008154)". Lineage: Eukaryota; Viridiplantae; Streptophyta; Magnoliopsida; Solanales; Solanaceae. The record is from RNAcentral.
UAGCCAUUAAUUUGAGAAUCAGGCAUCGGUGGCACUUUGAGAUUGGGUUUUAUCGGGUGAUGUCAAUCAGGUUAACUAAAAUUUAGACAGGGUUUUGACGUUUGAACGUUGUAUUUGUGUUCUGAGAGUUAGGGGUUUGAUCCAACUGAUACUUUCUGAGACCCAUGAUUCUAGAUACUAUAUCUAUCUAGGCACUGCGAAGAUGUAUCAUGACUUGAGUC